This 497-nucleotide ribosomal RNA is filed under the name uncultured bacterium. RNAcentral describes it as "partial 16S ribosomal RNA". It matches the Rfam family "Bacterial small subunit ribosomal RNA", at positions 28 to 507 of the family's 1533-position model. The record is from RNAcentral.
GAUGAACGCUGGCGGCGUGCCUAAUACAUGCAAGUCGAGCGAACAGACGAGGAGCUUGCUCCUCUGACGUUAGCGGCGGACGGGUGAGUAACACGUGGAUAACCUACCUAUAAGACUGGGAUAACCUCGGGAAACCGGAGCUAAUACCGGAUAAUAUAUUGAACCGCAUGGUUCAAUAGUGAAAGACGGUUUUGCUGUCACUUAUAGAUGGAUCCGCGCCGCAUUAGCUAGUUGGUAAGGUAACGGCUUACCAAGGCAACGAUGCGUAGCCGACCUGAGAGGGUGAUCGGCCACACUGGAACUGAGACACGGUCCAGACUCCUACGGGAGGCAGCAGUAGGGAAUCUUCCGCAAUGGGCGAAAGCUUGACGGAGCAACGCCGCGUGAGUGAUGAAGGUCUUCGGAUCGUAAAACUCUGUUAUUAGGGAAGAACAAAUGUGUAAGUAACUAUGCACGUCUUGACGGUACCUAAUCAGAAAGCCACGGCUAGCUACGUG